CCUACGGGAGGCUGCAGUGGGGAAUAUUGCACAAUGGGCGCAAGCCUGAUGCAGCCAUGCCGCGUGUGUGAAGAAGGCCUUCGGGUUGUAAAGCACUUUCAGCGGGGAGGAAGGCGGUGAGGUUAAUAACCUCAUCGAUUGACGUUACCCGCAGAAGAAGCACCGGCUAACUCCGUGCCAGCAGCCGCGGUAAUACGGAGGUUGCAAGCGUUAAUCGGAAUUACUGGGCGUAAAGCGCACGCAGGCGGUCUGUCAAGUCGGAUGUGAAAUCCCCGGGCUCAACCUGGGAACUGCAUUCGAAACUGGCAGGCUAGAGUCUUGUAGAGGGGGGUAGAAUUCCAGGUGUAGCGGUGAAAUGCGUAGAGAUCUGGAGGAAUACCGGUGGCGAAGGCGGCCCCCUGGACAAAGACUGGCGCUCAGGUGCGAAAGCGUGAGGAGCAAACAGGAUUAGAUACCCGAGUAGUC
This 465-nucleotide ribosomal RNA is filed under the name uncultured Klebsiella sp. RNAcentral describes it as "bacterial SSU rRNA". It matches the Rfam family "Bacterial small subunit ribosomal RNA", at positions 338 to 795 of the family's 1533-position model. Lineage: Bacteria; Pseudomonadati; Pseudomonadota; Gammaproteobacteria; Enterobacterales; Enterobacteriaceae. The record is from RNAcentral.